Molecule: ribosomal RNA, 274 nt
Filed under: uncultured bacterium
Lineage: Bacteria
Description: partial 16S ribosomal RNA
Rfam family: Bacterial small subunit ribosomal RNA
Source: RNAcentral
AUACGGGGGGAGCAAGCGUUGUCCGGAAUCACUGGGCGUAAAGGGCGUGUAGGCGGGUUGGUCAGUCAGAUGUGAAAGCCUGCGGCUUAACCGUAGAAAUGCAUUUGAAACUGCCGGCCUGGAGUGCGAGAGAGGGUAGUGGAAUUCCCAGUGUAGCGGUGAAAUGCGUAGAUAUUGGGAAGAACACCAGUAGCGAAGGCGGCUACCUGGCUCGCAACUGACGCUAAUGCGCGAAAGCGUGGGGAGCGAACAGGAUUAGAAACCCCAGUAGUCC